UAGGACUAAUCUGAGGGGCUUGUGAGCCUACCUCAUCGGGGACGGCGUGGCAGCGCCCGAUGGACAGGCCUGAGCCCUGAGCACCUGCAGCCCAUGGAGGGAGGACUCCAGAACAUGACUCAUCCUGGCGCAUCCCCAAGGAGGCAGGACCCAUCGUGGCCUUCAGGAGACCCUCCAGGACCGCAUAGCCCAGGACUCUCGCCUUCUUCCUGCCUCCUCGUCCUGCAGGCGACCCCUGAAAGUCACGUGAUUCUGCCUUCCUCAGGCCAAGAAGUGGUGCUGAUCUGGGGCCUUCUGUCCGUGGUCGGUCUUCCUCACCGUGAGUGCGUAUUAGGGCAGGGCUCCG
Molecule: long non-coding RNA, 346 nt
Filed under: Ursus maritimus (polar bear)
Lineage: Eukaryota; Metazoa; Chordata; Mammalia; Carnivora; Ursidae
Description: lncRNA (ENSUMAG00000019464.1)
Source: RNAcentral